Oncorhynchus tshawytscha (Chinook salmon) is the source of this 1206-nucleotide long non-coding RNA. RefSeq lists it as uncharacterized. NCBI's taxonomy places the organism in Eukaryota, Metazoa, Chordata, Actinopteri, Salmoniformes, Salmonidae. The transcript has 2 exons. The record is from RefSeq and is a predicted model, not a curated record.
AUCAGCUAAUUCGGCGAAUGUGUUGCCACUCUAGACCGUUCUGCGUGGCUGCUGUGUUUAUAAACUUUCUGAGGAAUUUCCUUUAGGCUAACAUUUUGCCAUUCACAUUGAGCUGUGUCUUUGGUGUAGCUACCAUAUCACAGUUUUUAAAGCUGCUGAUGGCUGCAUGGUUUUUAUCACAGUGCCAUUCCUCUUUCUGCCAGCCCCGACACUAUGCCAGUUUGCGGGCACACAUUAAGUCUCACAUAGUUGAGGCUGUGCCGCACGGAGGUAAGCACAUGCUCCUUCAGUUAUUGCGUCAACAUAUUUAAAAAAUCACAUAUGAAAAUGAUGAUUUCCCAGUAAGUGUAUUUAUUAAGGAUCCCCAGUAGUUCCUGCCAAGGCAGCAGCUACUCUUCACAGGGGUUUAUAAUGGGUUUGAAAUAUGUGAUGUCUGCGUGCUGUUUUUUCACUGACAGAUUUGCCUCGCGUUCCCGAAGCUAUUGAUCCUCUGUGGCUAAAUUAUAGGCCUUUUCGUGGUGUAGUAGGCUAUUCUGAAUUAUUUAAUUUAUUUAUGAACAGUCACCAUUAAUUCUAGAACGUUGGAAAAUGUAUUUCAAUUUAUCAGAGGUGCUGCAGUUAGUUCAGAACCCUUCAUGUUGGUAUGAUUCUAUAAGGAAAUAAAUGAUGAAGUGCAACGCUGGAGAGAUUAGAGUUGCAGGUUCAUGUCUAUCAGAGCUGAGAGAGGGAGAUAGAUUAUAGAAAGUGAAUCUCAUUCUAGUUAUAUGAGCGAUAAAGGCGCGCUUCUCACACGGCCACAGCCAUACGUUGAUCUCAAACAUAGGUGUUACACUGUUGCGCAAACCAUAACGGUCCAAACCAAGUCAACUCUUAGAAUAUUAGGCCCGGGCUACUUUUUCACAUUACGUUUAUUUGUGGGGUGCAGGAGAAUUAAUGGAGAGGCAACUCAAAUUAACUUUGAUCGCUUUUAUUAACGUACCGGAUCCGGCCAAAUAGGUUCUGGAAUAAAACAGUCCAAAACCGAGAGGUGCCGGAUCAUAUUUCUGAUCGGAUCCGGUUCAAAUUAAGCACCGGACGACAUUCACUGCUAUAAACCUGUCUCCAAUAUAACCACAUCAUUUACACAGACUCGCCGCAGAUCUUCGUGUGAAUAGGCGUGCCAUGAUCUGUUUUGUCAACGAGCUCAAUGUAUUCUAAUGGCUUGUG